This 867-nucleotide long non-coding RNA is filed under the name Fragaria vesca (wild strawberry). RNAcentral describes it as "long non-coding RNA (FVES_LNC000591)". The record is from RNAcentral. Lineage: Eukaryota; Viridiplantae; Streptophyta; Magnoliopsida; Rosales; Rosaceae.
UCUGCACAAAUAUUCAUCAACUUCUUGAUCGAUUGGGUGUGGCCUAGAGGGGAAGCUGUUAGAUCGAGUGUGGUAAGCCAUUUGUUUUUACUGAUUUUGGAGAUUAUAGAAGACCUUGCAGUUGAUGUACAAUUGGAACUGAUGAGUUAUUUCCUUAUUUAUCUGCUUAAUAUAUAGUGUUAAUUCAAGACGGGGACAUGGAAUCUCAUCCACCUCAUUCAGGGAGAAGUAACAUGAUUUUGAUUUCAAUUUCAUUGUUCCCUAGGCAAUGUUUAUGUAGUGUCUCCUUAUGCACCAGCAUACCAACUCAUGAACUAAUUUAUUUUGCAUUGAAAAUCUUUUAUCAUAACUUAACCAUCGUGCAAACAUAAUUUUUUAAAUUGCCAAAUUGGUCAGCGAUUGCACGAGUUGCACUGAGCUGUGUUGAUGCAUUCUGCUCAUAAGAAGAAAUAUGCUAAUCAGUAAUUCAGUAUAUAUAGUGUAGUGAUUGGUAUGCAGGGAGUGGGCAAGAUCUGCAAUUUUCUGACCAUGCAUUGUGUUUUCAUCGUGCAGAAAAUUGGUCAGGGGCCCAAGAUGAGUUAGCCUGUUCCCCAAACAGGAAGGAAAUCAGCAAACAUAUCAUUUUAAUUAGAGUAGAGAGAUCUGAGUCUGCCAUGUGAUUAUCAUUAAUCAAAAUUUGUAUUUAAUCUGCUUUCUACUAUUUCCCUGGAGAUAACUGUAAACUGACAUCAAUGUAAAUCGGGUGUGUUCUUGAGCGAGCAUGGCAAUUAGGUUUUACAACAAUCAUUUAUAUUGUACCCAUAGAAGAGAAGGUAUUCAGUUGAAUCUAAGUAGAGAAUCUUUCUGCCCUCUCAGCAUAUGGUAAGU